Molecule: long non-coding RNA, 748 nt
Organism: Coregonus clupeaformis (lake whitefish)
Lineage: Eukaryota; Metazoa; Chordata; Actinopteri; Salmoniformes; Salmonidae
Exons: 4
Source: RefSeq, a predicted model, not a curated record
CUUGUAAUCUAAGGACUAGGUUUUUUUCAUAAGGCACAGUCAACAGUGAGACAUUCACAUGCAAACCAGGAGUCCUACCACAAUGGAGAUUGGUGACAUGAUUGAGAUGAACAGAGGUGCAUACAAACACUGGGCUCUGUACAUUGGAAAUGGAGUGGUCAUCCAUUUGGUAACUCCAGAUGGCCCUUCAAGAGUAGCUUUCUGCAGUGUUAGCUCCCCCAGCCUUUCCAGUAAAGGCACGAUUUUAAUAGAGAUGUUAAAGGAUGUGGCAGCAAGGAAUACUUACAGAAUCAACAACUACUUGGAUGGCAGAUGACUUCAUGAAGGAUUUGUUAUUUGCUCCUGGCCUGUUUGGUGUAUCGGCUGCUGUUGGUGCUUGUGCUUCUAGAGCUGCUGUAGCAAAGACAUCUAAAAAAUAAUUUAUUGGGUCUCAUGAGUCUAAAUCAAAUCAAAUCAAAUGUUAUUUGUCACAUACACGUGUUUAGCAGAUGUUAUUGCGGGUGUAGCGAAAUGCUUAUAUUCUAGCUCCGACAGUGCAGUAAUAUCUAACAAGUAAUAUCUAACAAUUUCCCAAUACACACAAAUUUAAGUAAGGAAUGGAAUUUAAGAAUAUAUACAUAUAUACAUAUUGCAAAGUUUCCUAAGAGCUAGUCGCGAGGCCGCCACCUUCGUCGGCACCAGGUAUGGAGAAUGUCAGUGAUGCAAAAUGUUGUUUAUGGCCCAAUGAAUAAAGGACCAUCUCAAAGAC